This 497-nucleotide ribosomal RNA is filed under the name uncultured bacterium. Its description in RNAcentral is "partial 16S ribosomal RNA". It matches the Rfam family "Bacterial small subunit ribosomal RNA", at positions 28 to 507 of the family's 1533-position model. The record is from RNAcentral.
GAUGAACGCUGGCGGCGUGCCUAAUACAUGCAAGUCGAGCGAACGGACGAGAAGCUUGCUUCUCUGAUGUUAGCGGCGGACGGGUUAGUAACACGUGGAUAACCUACCUAUAAGACUGGGAUAACUUCGGGAAACCGGAGCUAAUACCGGCUGAUAUUUUGAACCGCAUGGUUCAAAAGUGAAAGACGGUCUUGCUGUCACUUAUAGAUGGAUCCGCGCUGCAUUAGCUAGUUGGUAAGGUAACGGCUUACCAAGGCAACGAUGCAUAGCCGACCUGAGAGGGUGAUCGGCCACACUGGAACUGAGACACGGUCCAGACUCCUACGGGAGGCAGCAGUAGGGAAUCUUCCGCAAUGGGCGAAAGCCUGACGGAGCAACGCCGCGUGAGUGAUGAAGGUCUUCGGAUCGUAAAACUCUGUUAUUAGGGAAGAACAUAUGUGUAAGUAACUGUGCACAUCUUGACGGUACCUAAUCAGAAAGCCACGGCUAACUACGUG